Molecule: long non-coding RNA, 5620 nt
Organism: Cercocebus atys (sooty mangabey)
Lineage: Eukaryota; Metazoa; Chordata; Mammalia; Primates; Cercopithecidae
Exons: 2
Source: RefSeq, a predicted model, not a curated record
AGCCUGGCAACAGAGUGAGAAUCCAUCUCAAGCACACAAAAAACAAUUCUUUUAAAAUCAUGUAAAAAAUAGAAUUCCAAUGGAGGAGGUUAAAAGACUUUCCAAUUGGGCAAAGUAACUACAGUUGGUGAAAACAUUCAAAGUUGGCAGCAAGACCUGUUGUGGUAUUCCAUUCAGUGGAUCUCAUUUCAAUGUAUUACUUCAUUGUGCAAUUAAUGAAAUCCAAGGAUCUCCACAGGAGUGGCAUCCACUGAAGAGGCAUCCAGGCUUAGUUUCCUAGUAACCACUCCUAAUUUUUUGAAUUCUAUUAUAUUUCUAGAGGCAACAUCCUCCAAUAUUGUGAGUGGCAUGCUUUAAAACUGAAGAUUAUGGAUGAAAUUAAAUUUGCAAGUCCACUGACCUUAAAAUCGUGUUAUUAUACUGGAUUAUUUAGGUGAGCCCAAUAGUAUCACAAAUGUUCUUCAGUGUGGUAGAGGGAGGCAGAAGAGGAAGAACAAGAGCAAUGACAAUAUAGCUUUUACAUUCAAAUGUCCAAGAGCUCUUUCUUAUACAAAGAAACUUUUUUGUUUGUUUUAUACCAUCCUAGUCUUCUUUAGUAUAUAAAAUAAGGGUCAGAUGGCAAUGACAUUCUACCUUUAAUUUACUUUGAAGAAAGUAACUCUCAUCCUAGGAUUCAACAUUGAGGGUGAAAGAGGGAAGGAAGCAAGAAACCAAAGUAAAGUCCAGUUGUUUGUGUAAAUGCCCUUCAAUUUGGAUCUUUCUGAUGUUCUCUCAUAAUUAGAUUCAGCUUAUGCAUUUUGUUUGUUUAUCAGAAAUACUUUGUAAGUAAUACUGAGUCCUAAUUGUAUCACAUUAUGAUCAGUUUGUUCCAUUAUUGGUGAUGUUGGCUAUGGUGGCAUCCUUCAAGUUAUAAUACAAUAAAAUUACUAUUUUUACUCUUUAUAAUUGGUAAGUAAUUUAUGGGACAAUAAAGAUUUUCUUUUCUACUCAAAAAAUGUAAAAUAAUUUGAAGUUCAAAGUAAAUGAAUAUAUUUUUUAGUUCUUAACCAAGAAAAAUAACCCACAGUCCCCUCAAAUAAAUAAUAAAGCUUCAUUUAUCAACAGUGUCUAUCAGUGUCUGUUUAGGGGUAAUCAGAGUUAUGCUUCCACCUAUGACGGAUUAAAUGCUAAGGAAUUAUCUGCUCAUCUUGAACAAUUAGAACGUCAGACAAAAGGUAAUAAACAAUGGUUUUCAGACAUUGGACAAUUUGUACCAGUUUUCUGAUCCCUGAGAAAAAGGAAACAAAUGAGUCCUUUAAUUGCCCCAUGCUCAUUGCCUGUAGGCAGUUUCCAAAAUACAGCACAAGGAAAGAGACCCAAACACAGCCUGGCAGUCUUGCUGAGUGUAAGAGACACAAAUUAGAAUUCAGGGAGGUUUAGGUGGUUAGAAUUUGCAGGAUAGAAGAGGAGGGAGCUGCACAGAAAGAAAUAUACGCAGGAGCUCCAGAGAUCUGCAGAGGAAUAUACUUGCAUUUUUGGCAGAGUUCUAAUCUAUGCAUGCAUGACAAGAAACUACCUAUAGCUGGUAGAAAGGAAAAAAUAUCAAAAGGCCAAACAAUUCCCAAAGCUCCUUCAGAGUUGGGAAUUGUUCAUGUACACACUUAAAGAAAUGGACAGACCUUGUAAGAUACAAAAGCAUCAGGUCACAGCUUAUAGUGAGGCUAAAUCAGGAUAGUGGGGCUAUCUAAAAAAAAAAAAAAAAAAGACUGCUCUAGAUCUGUCGGUAACAACUUAAAAGCAAUUCUUAAAGUGAUCAAACUUACCCUCAAACAAAAUUCAUCACUCACUAUAUAAAUAAAGCAAAAAUCUAAAGUCCAACAGCUAAUAGCAACAAAAAAACUAAAAAUAUCUAGCAUCCAACUUAAAAAUCCAGGCAUGCAAAGAAGAGAUAUAUGACAUACAGCCAGGAGGAAAAACAAUUACUAGAAAAAGACUCAUAAAUAAAAAAUGAAAAAGAUGAUGAUUUCAAUGGACAGGGAUCUGAAAGCAGAUAUUUUAAAUCAAAUGUAAAGAAAAACAUGAACAUAUGAGGAAUAUUUAAAUAAGACCCAUAUAAGAUCUUGAGAUAAAAAAAUAUGAAAUUUCAUUUCAUAUGAAAUGAAAAAUACAUUGGAUGGAAUUAACAGCAGAUAAUACACUGGAAAAGAAACAUCAGAGAACAAAUAAAAUAGCAAUAGAAAUUAUUCAAAAUGAAGCACAGAAGAGAAAGGGCAGGGAAAAAAAUAAACAGAGCCUAAAUAAGCUGUGGCAAAUAUCAAGCCGGGUAACAUUUGCCUAAUUGGAGUCCCAAGUAGGAAGGGAGAAAAAUAUCUAAAACAAAUAAUGACACAGGAUUUUCUCGCCCCUUCACCAGACUCGCAACAGAGGCACCCUGUUUACUCGGCCACCAUGCUCAACCCCUUGUGGGAGGGAGCAUGUGAGCGAGCAAGUGUGGGAUCUGACUGGCCAUUCCGGGCACUGGCAGGAGAAAGCUCCAUGCAAGGCCCACAGUAGCACCCAGGUGAGGGUGCCCAUGACCCUGAAGCCCCAGAGUGGGUGUUAUAGUGUUCUCUUAGUUCUCCCUCUGUAGACAGUGGUGUGUUAGCAGCUCAGCUGGCCCCUUGCCUCAGUGCAUGGAGCAACGGGGCGACUGCCCUCUACCAGCAAGGGUAAAAGGCUGGUGUCAGAGCCUUUCUAGGUACCCACGCUUGGUGGGUCCUGAGCUCUUGUCUGGUGUCCAAGAAGAAUGAGGUCGUGUAGACAACUGAAGGACGGUGAGGUGGAGAAUUUUACUGAGCAAUGAAAAUGGCUCUCAGCGGAGAAGGGAGCUGGAGAGGGGACAGAAAGCGCACGUCACCUUCCCUGAAGUCAGGUUAUCUCUCCCUGAAGUUCAGUCCUAUCCCUCGAAAGGGCACGUCACCUUCCCCGAAGUCAGGUUAUCUCUUCCUGAAGUUCAGUCGUAUCCCUCGAAGUCCAGCCAUCUCCCUCCUUAUCAACUGAGUCUGGGAUCUUUAUAAGCAGAGGAUGGGGGUGGGGCAGGCCGUAGGUAGUUUUGGAAAAGGCAACAUUUGAUUGGUAAAAGGGCAUUAUUCAGAAAGAACCAACUGGGAGAGAGUAGGUAAACCUUGGGCCAUGGGUUUCAGGCUGUUUGCUUUUUUUUGGCCUGAAGGUGGGGUUUCACUGGGCACCCAUCCCUGUCUGCCUAGAAUUUCUCUAUCUCCUGCCUCUAUCAAUAAUAGCUGAAAUUUUUCCAAAUUUCAUGAAAACUAGAAACUAUCAGAUCCCUAAAGCUCAACACCAAGCAGAAGAAACACAGAGAAAACCACACAAAGGGAUAGCAUAAUCAAAAUACUGGCAAUGACAGAGAAUAUCUUUAAAACAGUCAGAGAAAAAGGGAUUUGUUCUUACAGAGCAGGGUUCAGUAAACUACAAUACACACGCUGGACAUCUGUUUUCAUUACUAAAGUUUCGAUGGAACACAGUCAUACCCUUUCAUUUACACAUUAUCUAUUGGGACUUUCACACUAUACCAAAAAUUGAGUAGCUGUAACAAACACCAUUGUGACCGACAAGCCUAAAAUAUUUACUAUUUGACACUUUAAGAAAAAGUUUGUAGUUCCUUGCUACGGAGAAACAAAAAUAAGAAUGACUGAAGGUCGGCUGUCAGAAACCAUGGAGGGCAGAAAACAAUAGAAAGACACCUUUAAAGUGCUGAAAGAAAAAACUAAAAAUCUGAAUCUUGAAGUACAGGGAAAAUGUACCACGUUAAAAAUCCAAAAAGUACAUUAAAACUAUAUUUUACAUGAUAUCAAAAGAAAACCACCAACACACCAAAAAUGAAUAAUGCUUGUUUCCAGUUAUACAGAUAUUCCUAAACGGGCAAACAGUUAAUGGGAAAAGUUUUAAAAUUAUUGUAACAGGAUUUUGUUACUUUGCUACUUAAAAGGUAAAUUCCAACUCCUUGUUUUUAGGCAGAAUUUCUUUAACUUCUUUAAUAUGGAUCUCUCAAGAGAAUCAUCACAUUCUUUCAAGUGUAAAAGGAGGACUGGCAUCCUCCUUCUGAGAUACAUAGGCUGAAGAACAAAUCAUUAAGCCUCCCACUGUGCUUAAAUGAAAUCACUCUUGGGAUAAAAUAGUUAAUUUCAGUCAAAUUAAUUUUUUGGAACACUAUUUGCUUGUAUUAAAAAAGAUCAUAACAUUCCUCAUAAAAUAAAUUAUCUAAAGUUUGAAAAAGUAUUUUUAACAAAAGUAAUCACUUUUAGUCAUGGCAGUCAUACAAAUGUUUAACAUAUUUGUACAACAAAAGUGAAUCUCAUAAUUACUUUUCCCGUACUCUACUUAUAAUGAUCUUUCCCAUGGAUAAAGGCCCUCUAUGUGGUUUAAUCAAUGACAAUACCCUGAAACAGUCCUUUUCUGCUUCUAUAUACUAGUUGAAGACAGCAUGCUAAUGUUUAUAGUUUAUUAUAAUAAUUACUUGAUAAUUUUAGUUAUUCUAGAUACAGCUAUUUAGCAUGAGGAAAAUGUUUAACUAGCAUCUACAUAUCAAUAUAUAAUUUAUACAUCUCUCUCAGGCAAUGUAACAGAUUGAAUAACACUACUCUUUAAAAGUAGACAUUAUUUCACAAGACUAAGAUAUCUAUUGGCAUAUUUUAAACUAGAAACACCUUAAUUAAUCAAAACUAGGUAACAUGGAUACUAUUCUGUCUUCACUAAGUAUUAAUAGCCUUGGAUAUAGAACUGGUAAAUAAAAAAGAUACACAAAAUCAAAUAAUUAAAUACACUGAUUAGGCACUGAUAAAUAUAUAUGAAUGUAGAUAAAAGUAAAACAGUCUUUUAAAGGAAAAUAUGUGUUUAAGAAUGAUCAGAAAUUAUAAUCUGAGAUAACUGACAUAAUAAUACACAAGUUACCCACCAAACAUGACUGGUAUGACAAAAUGAAAGUUAACCCUGAAUGUUAAAAAUCUACAACUAAAGAUAUUGAUUCCUUUAAUAUAAAAUGUGACUUUUCUGACAUGCAUAUCAGAAAAGGGAUGUAAUGACAAAUUUGUAGGUGGACCAAACAUUUUCAAACUUAAAGUUGAUGAUAAUUAUUAAAAUGUUGAUUGUCAUUCUCAAACGGCUUUACCCUUGCAUUUAUCCCUUGAGAAGUGACAUUUUUGGAAGGGGCUGUAGUAAGUUAUAAUAUGAAAGUUGAUGUUAAUUUAUAUUAAUUUAAAAACAUAUCUGAUAUUAAGAGAUUAGUCCAUGACCUUCAAAAAGUUUAGUUUUCAUUACUUACCUCAUCACUUGAAUAAAAAUAAAUGAAAAAUGUAUUAUUUUUCACUAGACAUCAAUUUUAAAGUUGCUAUGGUUAGGGAAAGCUCUACAUGAUUUUAAAGCAAUAUAAGUCAGUCCUGAGGCAGACAGAGUGCUAGGGAUUCAGCAUCCUUUUGAUGAGUUUCCAGAUAUUGAUAAUUCAAUAGGCACAUUUUUUAAAAGAAGGUGGCAGAGAUUUCUACUUGAUAGACAUUUCAGUCAACCUUUAGUAAAGUUUAGCGGUAAUGGGGUAGGUAUUACUGUAACGGAAAAACACUAAAAUGCCAAAAUUGCAACAGUGGAACAA